This 27-nucleotide non-coding RNA is filed under the name Mus musculus (house mouse). Lineage: Eukaryota; Metazoa; Chordata; Mammalia; Rodentia; Muridae. The record is from RNAcentral.
UGUGACAAACGUUUCACACGCCUGGCC